Molecule: long non-coding RNA, 917 nt
Filed under: Macaca mulatta (Rhesus monkey)
Lineage: Eukaryota; Metazoa; Chordata; Mammalia; Primates; Cercopithecidae
Description: lncRNA (ENSMMUG00000049275.1)
Source: RNAcentral
AUGUUAGGUGUUGCUUUAGCUUAUGUUCCCCGGCAAGGAAACUACAGAGACAAGCACUUGCCUGCAGAGAUGGAAAUUGCUUGGCAAAUUUCUCUGCUGCCAUUUAAGAAACUUUGUAUAACACGUAAAAUAACAGCCAAUUCACAUGGACGCAUACAGAAAAUAGACUUGUUUGUUCAGCCUUUAGAAUCUGGAAGAGAGAUCCACGGAGGACAACGAGAGGAUAAAUCACACUCACAAUUAGCCAACUGCAAUGGAAAUUCAUUACUAAAAGUCAAUUUGCAGUUGGGCAAAAUGACAGCUGCAAGAAGAAAGUUAGACAAAGAAACACAUUUCAUUUGAAUUCUGAUGAAUUUAAAAUGUACACAGAUAGUAGAAGGUAAAAGAGUGUGGAAGCACCCAUGUGGGAAGUUUUGAUGGAGAAGACUUGGAAAAGGUACUUAUUCUCACAGUUCAUUGGCUAAAACAUAACCAAUAACAGAUACCUAAGGAAGUACGGGAUGUGGAGUCAUUUCGGGCCCAAGAAGAAACAGAAACAGAUCUUGGUGAGUAUUUAACCGUCUCUUCCAUAGUGAUAAUCUUGUUCUUUUAAUUUACAAUUUUAAUCCGUAUGUAUUUAUUAUGGUUAUUGGUGUAUUUGGCUUCAUUCCUCUACUGACAUUUUGCAUUUUAUUUAUUUUGUUAUUUUUAUGUUUUUUUUAUUCUUGUGUUUAUUUUUUCUCAUUACUUUGGAAAUUAGGUACUCUUAUUCUAUUAUUUUAGUUUAUCACUGUAUAUUAAUACUUUAUAUAUCUAAUUGUAUUAAACAUUUUUGCUCUUCUCCCAAACAAUUUUAUGAUCAUAGAAAGUUUUAAAUCUAGUUAUCCCCAUAUUAUAAGUGAUCAUUAUCUAGAAUCUUUAUUUUAUCUUAUAUUUUC